RNAcentral lists this ribosomal RNA (1372 nucleotides) under uncultured bacterium. RNAcentral describes it as "bacterial SSU rRNA". It matches the Rfam family "Bacterial small subunit ribosomal RNA", at positions 28 to 1381 of the family's 1533-position model. The record is from RNAcentral.
GAUGAACGCUGGCGGCGUGCCUAAUACAUGCAAGUCGAGCGAACAGAUAAGGAGCUUGCUCCUUUGACGUUAGCGGCGGACGGGUGAGUAACACGUGGGUAACCUACCUAUAAGACUGGGAUAACUUCGGGAAACCGGAGCUAAUACCGGAUAAUAUUUCGAACCGCAUGGUUCGAUAGUGAAAGAUGGUUUUGCUAUCACUCAUAGAUGGACCCGCGCCGUAUUAGCUAGUUGGUAAGGUAACGGCUUACCAAGGCGACGAUACGUAGCCGACCUGAGAGGGUGAUCGGCCACACUGGAACUGAGACACGGUCCAGACUCCUACGGGAGGCAGCAGUAGGGAAUCUUCCGCAAUGGGCGAAAGCCUGACGGAGCAACGCCGCGUGAGUGAUGAAGGUCUUCGGAUCGUAAAACUCUGUUAUUAGGGAAGAACAUACGUGUAAGUAACUGUGCACGUCUUGACGGUACCUAAUCAGAAAGCCACGGCUAACUACGUGCCAGCAGCCGCGGUAAUACGUAGGUGGCAAGCGUUAUCCGGAAUUAUUGGGCGUAAAGCGCGCGUAGGCGGUUUUUUAAGUCUGAUGUGAAAGCCCACGGCUCAACCGUGGAGGGUCAUUGGAAACUGGAAAACUUGAGUGCAGAAGAGGAAAGUGGAAUUCCAUGUGUAGCGGUGAAAUGCGCAGAGAUAUGGAGGAACACCAGUGGCGAAGGCGACUUUCUGGUCUGUAACUGACGCUGAUGUGCGAAAGCGUGGGGAUCAAACAGGAUUAGAUACCCUGGUAGUCCACGCCGUAAACGAUGAGUGCUAAGUGUUAGGGGGUUUCCGCCCCUUAGUGCUGCAGCUAACGCAUUAAGCACUCCGCCUGGGGAGUACGACCGCAAGGUUGAAACUCAAAGGAAUUGACGGGGACCCGCACAAGCGGUGGAGCAUGUGGUUUAAUUCGAAGCAACGCGAAGAACCUUACCAAAUCUUGACAUCCUUUGACAACUCUAGAGAUAGAGCUUUCCCCUUCGGGGGACAAAGUGACAGGUGGUGCAUGGUUGUCGUCAGCUCGUGUCGUGAGAUGUUGGGUUAAGUCCCGCAACGAGCGCAACCCUUAAGCUUAGUUGCCAUCAUUAAGUUGGGCACUCUAAGAUGACUGCCGGUGACAAACCGGAGGAAGGUGGGGAUGACGUCAAAUCAUCAUGCCCCUUAUGAUUUGGGCUACACACGUGCUACAAUGGACAAUACAAAGGGCAGCGAAACCGCGAGGUCAAGCAAAUCCCAUAAAGUUGUUCUCAGUUCGGAUUGUAGUCUGCAACUCGACUACAUGAAGCUGGAAUCGCUAGUAAUCGUAGAUCAGCAUGCUACGGUGAAUAAGUUCCCGGGUCU